RNAcentral lists this transfer RNA (86 nucleotides) under Pseudobutyrivibrio sp. RNAcentral's name for it is "tRNA-Tyr". It matches the Rfam family "tRNA". Rfam says of the family: Transfer RNA (tRNA) molecules are approximately 80 nucleotides in length. Their secondary structure includes four short double-helical elements and three loops (D, anti-codon, and T loops). Lineage: Bacteria; Bacillati; Bacillota; Clostridia; Lachnospirales; Lachnospiraceae. The record is from RNAcentral.
GGGUAGGUGCCGGAGUGGUUAAUCGGACCAGACUGUAAAUCUGGCGGCUGUAAAGGUCUACGAUAGUUCAAAUCUAUCCCUGCCCA